UAGUCCACGCCGUAAACGAUGAGUGCUAGUUGUUGGGCCUUGAGCUCGGUGACGUAGUUAACGCGUUAAGCACUCCGCCUGGGGAGUACGGUCGCAAGAUUAAAACUCAAAGGAAUUGACGGGGACCCGCACAAGCGGUGGAGCAUGUGGUUUAAUUCGAGGCAACGCGAAGAACCUUACCAGUCCUUGACAUCCCGAUCGCGAUUAAUGGAGACAUUUUUCUUCAGUUCGGCUGGAUCGGUGACAGGUGCUGCAUGGUUGUCGUCAGCUCGUGUCGUGAGAUGUUGGGUUAAGUCCCGCAACGAGCGCAUCCCACGUAUUUAGUUGCCAUCAUUAAGUUGGGCACUCUAGAUAGACUGCCGGGGACAACUCGGAGGAAGGUGUGGAUGACGUCAAGUCAGCAUGCCCCUUACAUCCUGGGCUACACACGUACUACAAUGCUAUGGACAAAGAGCUGCAAGCCAGCGAUGGCAAGCUAAUCUCAUAAACC
This 490-nucleotide ribosomal RNA is filed under the name uncultured bacterium. RNAcentral describes it as "bacterial SSU rRNA". It matches the Rfam family "Bacterial small subunit ribosomal RNA", at positions 791 to 1282 of the family's 1533-position model. The record is from RNAcentral.